CGCGGGGUGGAGCAGCCUGGUAGCUCGUCGGGCUCAUAACCCGAAGGUCGCCGGUUCAAAUCCGGCCCCCGCAACCA
RNAcentral lists this transfer RNA (77 nucleotides) under Thermus thermophilus. Its description in RNAcentral is "tdbR00000508". It matches the Rfam family "tRNA". From Rfam's summary of the family: Transfer RNA (tRNA) molecules are approximately 80 nucleotides in length. Their secondary structure includes four short double-helical elements and three loops (D, anti-codon, and T loops). Further hydrogen bonds mediate the characteristic L-shaped molecular structure. tRNAs have two regions of fundamental functional importance: the anti-codon, which is responsible for specific mRNA codon recognition, and the 3' end, to which the tRNAs corresponding amino acid is attached (by aminoacyl-tRNA synthetases). tRNAs cope with the degeneracy of the genetic code in two manners: having more than one tRNA (with a specific anti-codon) for a particular amino acid; and 'wobble' base-pairing, i.e. permitting non-standard base-pairing at the 3rd anti-codon position. RNAcentral also lists the same sequence under 12 other names. Lineage: Bacteria; Thermotogati; Deinococcota; Deinococci; Thermales; Thermaceae. The record is from RNAcentral.